GACGAACGCUGGCGGCGUGCUUAACACAUGCAAGUCGAACGGAAAGGCCCUGCUUUUGUGGGGUGCUCGAGUGGCGAACGGGUGAGUAACACGUGAGUAACCUGCCCUUGACUUUGGGAUAACUUCAGGAAACUGGGGCUAAUACCGGAUAGGAGCUCCUGCUGCAUGGUGGGGGUUGGAAAGUUUCGGCGGUUGGGGAUGGACUCGCGGCUUAUCAGCUUGUUGGUGGGGUAGUGGCUUACCAAGGCUUUGACGGGUAGCCGGCCUGAGAGGGUGACCGGCCACAUUGGGACUGAGAUACGGCCCAGAAUCCUACGGGAGGCAGCAGUGGGGAAUAUUGCACAAUGGGCGGAAGCCUAAUGCAGCAACGCCGCGUGCGGGAUGACGGCCUUCGGGUUGUAAACCGCUUUCGCCUGUGACGAAGCGUGAGUGACGGUAAUGGGUAAAGAAGCACCGGCUAACUACGUG
This 468-nucleotide ribosomal RNA is filed under the name uncultured bacterium. RNAcentral's name for it is "partial 16S ribosomal RNA". It matches the Rfam family "Bacterial small subunit ribosomal RNA", at positions 28 to 507 of the family's 1533-position model. The record is from RNAcentral.